Molecule: non-coding RNA, 206 nt
Organism: Cinara cedri
Lineage: Eukaryota; Metazoa; Arthropoda; Insecta; Hemiptera; Aphididae
Source: the annotation of a GenBank genome assembly
AUAAAUUAUAUCGUUGUGAUUACCUAUCCAAUAUUUUAUUGCAAAUCGUGUAAAUCACACUAUAAUAAACGAUCGCCGGUUUUUAUUUUUUUCAUCUUGGUUAUUAUGCAUAUAGUAUUAGUGUUCAAAACAUGAAAUACGUUUCGGACUUUUCGAGAAUAUAAUAUGUAGGUACAUAAAUAUAGAUACCUAUAACCUAUUAUCCG